GAUGAACGCUGGCGGCGUGCCUAAUACAUGCAAGUCGAGCGAACGGACGAGAAGUUUGCUUCUCUGAUGUUAGCGGAGGAGGUGUGAGUAACACGUGGAUAACCUACCUAUAAGACUGGGAUAACUUCGGGAAACCGGCGCUUAUCCCGGAUAAUAUUUUGAACCGCAUGGUUCAUAAGUGAAAGACGUUCUUGUUGGAACUUAUAGAUGGAUCCGCGCUGCAUUAGCUAGUUGGUAAGGUAAAAGCUUACCAAGGCAACGAUGCGUAGCCGACCUAAGAGGGUGAUAGGCCACACUGGAACUGGACCAGCGACAAGACGCCUACGGCAGGCAGCAGUAGGGAAUCUGCCGCAGAGGGCGAAAGCCUUACGGAGCAACGCCGCGUGAGUGAUGAAGGUCUUCGGAUCGUAAAGCUCUGUUAUGAGGGAAGAACAUAUGUGUAAGUAACUGAGCACAUCGUGACGGUACCUAAUCAGAAAGCCACGGCUAACUACGUG
This 497-nucleotide ribosomal RNA is filed under the name uncultured bacterium. Its description in RNAcentral is "partial 16S ribosomal RNA". It matches the Rfam family "Bacterial small subunit ribosomal RNA", at positions 28 to 507 of the family's 1533-position model. The record is from RNAcentral.